GAUGAACGCUGGCGGCGCGCCUAACACAUGCAAGUCGAACGGCACCCACCUCCGGGUGGAAGCGAGUGGCGAACGGCUGAGUAACACGUGGAGAACCUGCCCCCUCCCCCGGGAUAGCCGCCCGAAAGGACGGGUAAUACCGGAUACCCCGGGGUGCCGCAUGGCACCCCGGCUAAAGCCCCGACGGGAGGGGAUGGCUCCGCGGCCCAUCAGGUAGACGGCGGGGUGACGGCCCACCGUGCCGACAACGGGUAGCCGGGUUGAGAGACCGACCGGCCAGAUUGGGACUGAGACACGGCCCAGACUCCUACGGGAGGCAGCAGUGGGGAAUCUUGCGCAAUGGGGGGAACCCGGACGCAGCGACGCCGCGUGCGGGACGGAGGCCUUCGGGUCGUAAACCGCUUUCCGCAGGGAAGAGUCAAGACUGUACCUGCAGAAGAAGCCCCGGCUAACUACGUGCCAGCCGCCGCCGUAA
RNAcentral lists this ribosomal RNA (475 nucleotides) under uncultured bacterium. RNAcentral's name for it is "partial 16S ribosomal RNA". It matches the Rfam family "Bacterial small subunit ribosomal RNA", at positions 28 to 523 of the family's 1533-position model. The record is from RNAcentral.